CGCGAAUUCGCCCUUCGGGGUGCCCAGGCGCGAAAACUUUACACUGCACGAAAGUGUGAUAAGGGAACCCAGAGUGCUUAUGUUUUACAUAGGCUUUUGCCAAGAGUAAAUAUCUUGGAGAAUAAGUAGUGGGUAAGACUGGUGCCAGCAGCCGCGGUAACCCCAUCGCUACAAGUGGUGAUCACUUUUAUUGGGCUUAAAGCGUUCGUAGCCGGAUAAAUAAAUUCUUUGUGAAAUCAGUAAGCUCAACUUAUUGGCGUGCAGAGAACACUGUUUAUCUUGGAACCGGGAGAAGUAUGGAGUAUUUCUUGGGGAGCGGUAAAAUGUUAUAAUCCAAGAAGGACUACCGGUGGCGAAGGCGCCAUACUAGAACGGAUUCGACGGUGAGGAACGAAAGCCAGGGGAGCAAAACGGAUUAGAUACCCGAGUAGUCCUGGCAGUAAACUCUGUGAACUAGGUGUUGCAUUUUCUUAGUGGAAGUGCAGUGUCGGAGCGAAAGUGUUAAGUUCACCGCCUGGGAAGUACGGUCGCAAGGCUGAAACUUAAAGGAAUUGGCGGGGGAGCAC
RNAcentral lists this ribosomal RNA (566 nucleotides) under uncultured archaeon. RNAcentral describes it as "bacterial SSU rRNA". It matches the Rfam family "Archaeal small subunit ribosomal RNA", at positions 311 to 879 of the family's 1478-position model. The record is from RNAcentral.